RNAcentral lists this ribosomal RNA (445 nucleotides) under uncultured bacterium. RNAcentral's name for it is "partial 16S ribosomal RNA". It matches the Rfam family "Bacterial small subunit ribosomal RNA", at positions 354 to 796 of the family's 1533-position model. The record is from RNAcentral.
GUGAGGAAUAUUGCGCAAUGGAGGCAACUCUGACGCAGCCAUGCCGCGUGCAGGAAGAAGGCGCUACGCGUUGUAAACUGCUUUUAACCGGGAAGAAACCCCAGGACGUGUCCUGGGUUGACGGUACCGGAGGAAUAAGCACCGGCUAACUUCGUGCCAGCAGCCGCGGUAAUACGAAGGGUGCAAGCGUUAUCCGGAUUCAUUGGGUUUAAAGGGUGCGUAGGCGGAGCGUUAAGUCAGUGGUGAAAUCCUGCAGCUUAACUGUAGGCUUGCCAUUGAUACUGGCGCUCUUGAGUGCGCUUGAAGUGGGCGGAAUGUGCCGUGUAGCGGUGAAAUGCUUAGAUAUGGCACAGAACACCAAUUGCGAAGGCAGCUCACUAAGGCGAUACUGACGCUGAGGCACGAAAGCGUGGGGAUCGAACAGGAUUAGAAACCCGAGUAGUCC